Molecule: ribosomal RNA, 1346 nt
Filed under: uncultured bacterium
Lineage: Bacteria
Description: bacterial SSU rRNA
Rfam family: Bacterial small subunit ribosomal RNA
Source: RNAcentral
GACGAACGCUGGCGGCGUGCUUAACACAUGCAAGUCGAACGGAAAGGCCCUGCUUUUGUGGGGUGCUCGAGUGGCGAACGGGUGAGUAACACGUGAGUAACCUGCCCUUGACUUUGGGAUAACUUCAGGAAACUGGGGCUAAUACCGGAUAGGAGCUCCUGCUGCAUGGUGGGGGUUGGAAAGUUUCGGCGGUUGGGGAUGGACUCGCGGCUUAUCAGCUUGUUGGUGGGGUAGUGGCUUACCAAGGCUUUGACGGGUAGCCGGCCUGAGAGGGUGACCGGCCACAUUGGGACUGAGAUACGGCCCAGACUCCUACGGGAGGCAGCAGUGGGGAAUAUUGCACAAUGGGCGGAAGCCUGAUGCAGCAACGCCGCGUGCGGGAUGACGGCCUUCGGGUUGUAAACCGCUUUCGCCUGUGACGAAGCGUGAGUGACGGUAAUGGGUAAAGAAGCACCGGCUAACUACGUGCCAGCAGCCGCGGUGAUACGUAGGGUGCGAGCGUUGUCCGGAUUUAUUGGGCGUAAAGGGCUCGUAGGUGGUUGAUCGCGUCGGAAGUGUAAUCUUGGGGCUUAACCCUGAGCGUGCUUUCGAUACGGGUUGACUUGAGGAAGGUAGGGGAGAAUGGAAUUCCUGGUGGAGCGGUGGAAUGCGCAGAUAUCAGGAGGAACACCAGUGGCGAAGGCGGUUCUCUGGGCCUUUCCUGACGCUGAGGGGCGAAAGCGUGGGGAGCGAACAGGCUUAGAUACCCUGGUAGUCCACGCUGUAAACGGUGGGUACUAGGUGUGGGGUCCAUUCCACGGGUUCCGUGCCGUAGCUAACGCUUUAAGUACCCCGCCUGGGGAGUACGGCCGCAAGGCUAAAACUCAAAGGAAUUGACGGGGCCCCGCACAAGCGGCGGAGCAUGCGGAUUAAUUCGAUGCAACGCGUAGAACCUUACCUGGGUUUGACAUGGAUCGGGAGCGCUCAGAGAUGGGUGUGCCUCUUUUGGGGUCGGUUCACAGGUGGUGCAUGGCUGUCGUCAGCUCGUGUCGUGAGAUGUUAGGUUAAGUCCCGCAACGAGCGCAACCCUUGUUCACUGUUGCCAGCACGUUAUGGUGGGGACUCAGUGGAGACCGCCGGGGUCAACUCGGAGGAAGGUGGGGAUGACGUCAAGUCAUCAUGCCCCUUAUGUCCAGGGCUUCACGCAUGCUACAAUGGCUGGUACAGAGAGUGGCGAGCCUGUGAGGGUGAGCGAAUCUCGGAAAGCCGGUCUCAGUUCGGAUUGGGGUCUGCAACUCGACCUCAUGAAGUCGGAGUCGCUAGUAAUCGCAGAUCAGCAACGCUGCGGUGAAUACGUUCCCGGGGCU